AAAGAAAUUAAGUGGCAACUCUACUCACUGUCUGUUGUUGCAAAGCCCUGUUUAGUAAAUGCACGUGCAUAGACUUAGGAGCAUUCCAUUCCUGCAAAUUGCACGAAUUAACUAAUAAAGAACUGAAUAAUUCUACAAGUUUGAGCAGGUACAAUCUUCUAAGAGAAAUCGAGGAGCAUGUGAAUCAUGAAUACCUGGAAAUCCAUAUAUGAGGAACAAAACAUUUACAUGGCUAAGCUGGCCAUGAUUGACACUAGGCACAAUUAAUGAUAAGAGCAUCCAACAAUCUCUGUGAUCUUAGCGGUACAUGAAAUGAUACCAUCAGACCACGAAAAUAUGAUCUUUCGCAAGCACUAAUUCUGUAAAAUGUGCUGCUGCACUGAGAAGUAACAGAAAGCUAUAACCUUUAACUUA
Molecule: long non-coding RNA, 414 nt
Filed under: Nicotiana benthamiana
Lineage: Eukaryota; Viridiplantae; Streptophyta; Magnoliopsida; Solanales; Solanaceae
Description: long non-coding RNA (NBEN_LNC002178)
Source: RNAcentral